CGUAUUAAAGAGUUACUCUCCAAUGACGCUGGCGGCGUGCGUAAUACAUGCAAGUCGAACGAGUUCUCGUUGAUGAUCGGUGCUUGCACCGAGAUUCAACAUGGAACGAGUGGCGGACGGGUGAGUAACACGUGGGUAACCUGCCCUUAAGUGGGGGAUAACAUUUGGAAACAGAUGCUAAUACCGCAUAGAUCCAAGAACCGCAUGGUUCUUGGCUGAAAGAUGGCGUAAGCUAUCGCUUUUGGAUGGACCCGCGGCGUAUUAGCUAGUUGGUGAGGUAAUGGCUCACCAAGGCGAUGAUACGUAGCCGAACUGAGAGGUUGAUCGGCCACAUUGGGACUGAGACACGGCCCAAACUCCUACGGGAGGCAGCAGUAGGGAAUCUUCCACAAUGGACGCAAGUCUGAUGGAGCAACGCCGCGUGAGUGAAGAAGGCUUUCGGGUCGUAAAACUCUGUUGUUGGAGAAGAAUGGUCGGCAGAGUAACUGUUGUCGGCGUGACGGUAUCCAACCAGAAAGCCACGGCUAACUACGUGCCAGCAGCCGCGGUAAUACGUAGGUGGCAAGCGUUAUCCGGAUUUAUUGGGCGUAAAGCGAGCGCAGGCGGUUUUUUAAGUCUGAUGUGAAAGCCCUCGGCUUAACCGAGGAAGCGCAUCGGAAACUGGGAAACUUGAGUGCAGAAGAGGACAGUGGAACUCCAUGUGUAGCGGUGAAAUGCGUAGAUAUAUGGAAGAACACCAGUGGCGAAGGCGGCUGUCUGGUCUGUAACUGACGCUGAGGCUCGAAAGCAUGGGUAGCGAACAGGAUUAGAUACCCUGGUAGUCCAUGCCGUAAACGAUGAAUGCUAGGUGUUGGAGGGUUUCCGCCCUUCAGUGCCGCAGCUAACGCAUUAAGCAUCCGCCUGGAGCCCGCGGAGCGGAGGGUGUGUCG
This 929-nucleotide ribosomal RNA is filed under the name Lacticaseibacillus paracasei. RNAcentral's name for it is "bacterial SSU rRNA". It matches the Rfam family "Bacterial small subunit ribosomal RNA", at positions 9 to 873 of the family's 1533-position model. The record is from RNAcentral. Lineage: Bacteria; Bacillati; Bacillota; Bacilli; Lactobacillales; Lactobacillaceae.